AACCUAGCACACCUGCGGUGUGUACCUGCGGAAGGAUCAUUACAGAGUGUUCUAAACACCCUAAACCCCUGUGAACAUACCAGUCGUUGCUUCGGCGGGAUCGCCCCGGGCGCCUCACAGCGCCCCGGAACCAGGCGCCCGCCGGGGGAAACCAAACUCUUGUUUUGUAUAGUGGCUUACUCUGAGUGGCUCCUAGCGAGCAAAAAAUGUCAAAACUUUCAGCAACGGAUCUCAGAUCGG
This 240-nucleotide unclassified non-coding RNA is filed under the name soil metagenome. RNAcentral's name for it is "partial contains 5.8S ribosomal RNA, internal transcribed spacer 2, and large subunit ribosomal RNA". The record is from RNAcentral.